Molecule: ribosomal RNA, 506 nt
Filed under: uncultured bacterium
Lineage: Bacteria
Description: partial 16S ribosomal RNA
Rfam family: Bacterial small subunit ribosomal RNA
Source: RNAcentral
AGUGAACGCUGGCGGUAGGCCUAACACAUGCAAGUCGAACGGCAGCACAGGAGAGCUUGCUCUCUGGGUGGCGAGUGGCGGACGGGUGAGGAAUACAUCGGAAUCUACUCUGUCGUGGGGGAUAACGUAGGGAAACUUACGCUAAUACCGCAUACGACCUACGGGUGAAAGCAGGGGAUCUUCGGACCUUGCGCGAUUGAAUGAGCCGAUGUCGGAUUAGCUAGUUGGCGGGGUAAAGGCCCACCAAGGCGACGAUCCGUAGCUGGUCUGAGAGGAUGAUCGGCCACACUGGAACUGAGACACGGUCCAGGCUCCUACGGGAGGCAGCAGUGGGGAAUAUUGGACAAUGGGCGCAAGCCUGAUCCAGCCAUACCGCGUGGGUGAAGAAGGCCUUCGGGUUGUAAAGCCCUUUUGUUGGGAAAGAAAUCCAGCUGGCUAAUACCCGGUUGGGAUGACGGAACCCAAAGAAUAAGCACCGGCUAACUUCAUGCCAGCAGCCGCCGCAG